Molecule: ribosomal RNA, 478 nt
Filed under: uncultured bacterium
Lineage: Bacteria
Description: bacterial SSU rRNA
Rfam family: Bacterial small subunit ribosomal RNA
Source: RNAcentral
GAUGAACGCUGGCGGCGUGCCUAACACAUGCAAGUCGAGCGUGAACCGUCUGAAUGAAACUUCGGUCGAGUGAGGAUGGGAAAGCGGCGGACGGGUGAGUAACGCGUAGGCAACCUGCCCCGUACAGAGGGAUAGCCUCGGGAAACCGGGAUUAAGACCUCAUAAUACCAUUAUCUCACAUGUGAUAAUGGUCAAAGAUUUUAUCGGUAUGGGAUGGGCCUGCGUCUGAUUAGCUGGUUGGUGGGGUAACGGCUCACCAAGGCGACGAUCAGUAGCCGACCUGAGAGGGUAAUCGGCCACAUUGGAACUGAGACACGGUCCAAACUCCUACGGGAGGCAGCAGUGGGGAAUAUUGCACAAUGGGCGAAAGCCUGAUGCAGCAACGCCGCGUGAGCGAGGAAGGCCUUUGGGUCGUAAAGCUCUGUCGAGGAGGAAGAUAAUGACGGUACUCCUCGAGGAAGCCCCGGCUAACUACGUG